Molecule: ribosomal RNA, 254 nt
Filed under: uncultured bacterium
Lineage: Bacteria
Description: partial 16S ribosomal RNA
Rfam family: Bacterial small subunit ribosomal RNA
Source: RNAcentral
UACGUAGGGGGCAAGCGUUGUCCGGAUUUAUUGGGCGUAAAGAGCGUGUAGGCGGCCAGGUAGGUCUGCUGUGAAAACUCGAGGCUUAACCUCGAGCUGUCGGUGGAAACUGUCUGGCUAGAGUCCGGAAGAGGAGAAUGGAAUUCCUGGUGUAGCGGUGAAAUGCGCAGAUAUCAGGAAGAACACCCGUGGCGAAGGCGGUUCUCUGGGACGGUACUGACGCUGGAGACGCGAAAGCGUGGGGAGCGAACAGG